Molecule: long non-coding RNA, 1168 nt
Organism: Trifolium pratense (red clover)
Lineage: Eukaryota; Viridiplantae; Streptophyta; Magnoliopsida; Fabales; Fabaceae
Exons: 5
Source: RefSeq, a predicted model, not a curated record
GGUUUCAAUAUCCACAGAUGUGAAAAAUAUAUAGACAAAACGUUUUACAUCUAGCCACAAUAUCCCCAGAUGCAAAGCUAAACGCGGUGGCAAUCCUGUAAUUAUGGUAAAAAUUGUCUAAAAUAAUUUCACAUAUGACCAUAAUAUCCCCGGAUGUAAAAAGACUUCAAGUGAUUAAUAAUUGGUCUCAUAGUAACAGCUCUCUCACGAUCUCCUUCAUCUCUCACUGCUCACUCGAACCCUAGCGACCGGCCUCAUCUCUCACGAUCGAUCUCAUCUUCUCUCUCAGAUCUCACUCGAACUCGGCGGCCUCAUCUCUCUCACGAUCGAUCUCGUCUUCUCUCUCACUGAUCUCACGUACUCGCUCAUCUAUGUCGUCUCUCUGUCUCACUGAAACAUGAAUUGAAGGCUGAAACGGAAAUUCCAAAACCCAGUUAAACACAAAUUGAAGGCUGAAACACAUCUCUGUCAUCUCUAGCUGAAACCCAGAGAAAAGGUUUAAUUGGUAGUGCAUUUGCAUCGAAGGGUUGAUUUGGUUAGGUCAAGAUGUUCACUGAAGGAGUUGACAAAAACCCAUUUAGAUGGGUCAGAGAUAAGGAAGUGUCAUUCAUCGAGAGAAACACUUACUGGAAGACAAGGAAUGACGAGGGAUCCGGUGAUGAGGAGUGCUGCUAAUGGAAUGCAAGGUCACGGGGUGUGUUUCACUUGCUGUGUUGAUUUGAGGUAGGUGAUGAGGAGUGCUGCUAAUGGAAUGCAGAAUGAUUUCACUGAGGAUGAAUUGUCAGAUCAGAUUCUGCGGCCAACUCAGAAUUUUCUACCACACAAGUAGGAAGUAGUAUCAAUGGUUCUCUUCCAAAAAGUAAGGCUUAUAUGUUACCAGGGGAUGCUUCUAUGUGCAAAGUUCUGCAGAAAAGGUGUUCAAUGAUCCCAUGUCAUUAACAGAGGAGGAGCUGUAUGAAUUACGAAACAGCUAGGCAACUUGUUUUCUUGACCUAUACAAUCCCGAGGUAGAUUAUGAUGUUGCCGAUGAUGAGGCUUAGGAGCUAGCUAGGUUAAUUUGUGUGAUGGAUUCAUAUUAAUUAUGAUGUUUUGAAUUGUAAUGACUUGUAUUUUGCUUGAAUGUUAUAACAUUUUGGAUGAAUGAGUUGGUAUUUUGCUUGAAUUGUAA